Molecule: small RNA, 125 nt
Filed under: Marmota monax (woodchuck)
Lineage: Eukaryota; Metazoa; Chordata; Mammalia; Rodentia; Sciuridae
Source: RNAcentral
GCCGGGCUUGGUGGUGCACACCUGAAAUCCCAGCAGCUCAGGAGGCUGAGGCAGGAGGAUUGCGAGUUCAAAGCCAGCCUCAGCAAAGGCAGGGUGCUAAGUAACUCAGUGAGACCCUGUCUCUA